RNAcentral lists this ribosomal RNA (429 nucleotides) under Chloroflexota bacterium. Its description in RNAcentral is "Chloroflexi bacterium partial 16S ribosomal RNA". It matches the Rfam family "Bacterial small subunit ribosomal RNA", at positions 355 to 776 of the family's 1533-position model. Lineage: Bacteria; Bacillati; Chloroflexota. The record is from RNAcentral.
UGGGGAAUAUUGCACAAUGGGCGCAAGCCUGAUGCAGCCAUGCCGCGUGUAUGAAGAAGGCCUUCGCGUUGUAUAGUACUUUCUGCGGUUAGUUAGGGAGUAAAGUUAAUACCUUUGCUCAUUGACGUUACCCGCAGCCGAAGCACCGCCUACCUCCGUGCCAGCAGCCGCGGUAAUACGGAGGGUGCAAGCGUUAAUCGGAAUUACUGGGCGUAAAGCGCACGCAGGAGGUUGAUUGAGUCAGAUGUGAAAUCCCCGGGCUUAAACCGGGAAUUGCAUCUGAGAAGGGUCAGCUAGAGUGUUGGAGAGGGGGGUAGAAUUCCAUGUGGAGCGGUGAAAUGCGGAGAGAUGUGGAGGAAUACCGGUGGCGAAGGCGGCCCCAAGGACAAAAAAUAACGAUCAGGUGCGAAAGCGUGGGGAGCAAACAGG